This is a long non-coding RNA of Sapajus apella (tufted capuchin), 135 nucleotides long. RefSeq lists it as uncharacterized. The transcript has 3 exons. Lineage: Eukaryota; Metazoa; Chordata; Mammalia; Primates; Cebidae. The record is from RefSeq and is a predicted model, not a curated record.
UUUUGAGAAUUACCAAAAUGUGACUGACAUAGAGACACAAAGUGAGUAUAUACUAUUGCAAAAAUGGCACUGAUAAACUUGCUUAAUGCAAGGUUGCCAUAAACCUUCAAUUUAUUAAAAAUUCUAUCUGCCAAG